AUGUGGUCUCACCAGAGCCCUAUACAACUGCAGAAGAACCUCUUUACUCCUAUACUGAAAUCCUCUUGUUAUGAAGGCCAACAUUCCAUUAGCUUUCCUCACGGCCUGCUGUAGCUGCACGCAUCUUACAGUGACUGGUGUAC
Amblyraja radiata (thorny skate) is the source of this 143-nucleotide long non-coding RNA. RefSeq lists it as uncharacterized. Lineage: Eukaryota; Metazoa; Chordata; Chondrichthyes; Rajiformes; Rajidae. The transcript is spliced from 3 exons. The record is from RefSeq and is a predicted model, not a curated record.